Molecule: small nuclear RNA, 244 nt
Filed under: Jaculus jaculus (lesser Egyptian jerboa)
Lineage: Eukaryota; Metazoa; Chordata; Mammalia; Rodentia; Dipodidae
Description: 7SK RNA (ENSJJAG00000006579.1)
Rfam family: 7SK RNA
About the family: 7SK was discovered as an abundant small nuclear RNA in the mid-70s but a possible function has only recently been suggested.
Source: Rfam by way of RNAcentral
AGAUGUGAGGGCAACCUGGCUGCAACAUCUGUAACCCCCUUGAUUGCCAGGAUUGAUUUGGCUGGCUAGGCAGGUGUCCCCUUCCUCCCUUGCUGCCCCACGUGUGUCCCUCCCUAACCUUUGAACCUGGUCAAAGAGGAUGACCUUCCCCGAAUAGAGGAGAACUGGUCUUCGGUCAAGGAACCUCCAAACAAGCUCUCAAAAACAAGCAAACAAACAAAACAAGGAAUGUUUUCCUUUUUUU